CGCCAUUCCGAGGGGCGCACUACCUGCAGUGCUGAGAUGGCGUCGAGCCAGCACCCUUGAACCUGAUCCGGGUCAUGCCGGCGUAGGAACGGGAAUGGGCAUCGAG
Molecule: regulatory RNA element, 106 nt
Organism: Aureimonas sp. Leaf454
Lineage: Bacteria; Pseudomonadati; Pseudomonadota; Alphaproteobacteria; Hyphomicrobiales; Aurantimonadaceae
Rfam family: TPP riboswitch aptamer (THI element)
About the family: Vitamin B(1) in its active form thiamin pyrophosphate (TPP) is an essential coenzyme that is synthesised by coupling of pyrimidine and thiazole moieties in bacteria. The previously detected thiamin-regulatory element, thi box was extended, resulting in a new, highly conserved RNA secondary structure, the THI element, which is widely distributed in eubacteria and also occurs in some archaea.
Source: Rfam